Molecule: ribosomal RNA, 245 nt
Filed under: uncultured bacterium
Lineage: Bacteria
Description: partial 16S ribosomal RNA
Rfam family: Bacterial small subunit ribosomal RNA
Source: RNAcentral
UACGGAGGUGGCAAGCGUUGUUCGGAAUUACUGGGCGUAAAGGGCGCGUAGGCGGCUAGACAAGUCAGAUGUGAAAGCCCCGGGCUUAACUCGGGAAUUGCAUCUGAAACUGACUAGCUUGAGUUCUGGAGGGGAUGGUGGAAUUCCCAGUGUAGCGGUGAAAUGCGUAGAUAUUGGGAGGAACACCUGCGGCGAAGGCGGCCAUCUGGACAGUAACUGACGCUGAGGCGCGAAAGCUAGGGGAG